CCGCGGUAAUACGGGGGGAGCAAGCGUUGUUCGGAUUUACUGGGCGUAAAGGGCGCGUAGGCGGCCAGUGCAAGUCAGUUGUGAAAUCUCCGANCUUAACUCGGAAAGGUCAACUGAUACUGCUCGGCUANAGUGCGGAAGGGGCAACUGGAAUUCUUGGUGUAGCGGUGAAAUGCGUAGAUAUCAAGAGGAACACCUGCGGCGAANGCGGGUUGCUGGGCCGACACUGACGCUGAGGCGCGAAAGCUAGGGGAGCGAACGGGAUUANAUACCCCGGUAGUCCUAGCCUUAAACGAUGAAUGCUUGGUGUCUGGGGUUAUAUAGUCCCCGGGUGCCGUCGCUAACGCUUUAAGCAUUCCGCCUGGGGAGUACGGUCGCAAGACUGAAACUCAAAGG
Molecule: ribosomal RNA, 396 nt
Filed under: uncultured bacterium
Lineage: Bacteria
Description: bacterial SSU rRNA
Rfam family: Bacterial small subunit ribosomal RNA
Source: RNAcentral